GUUCGCGUUCGCGAACAGACUUUACGCAAACUUCGGUCAACAGAAGCCACAACCAUUGAACCACCUCCGCGGCAAUCGGAGGGCAGAUGCAACCACCCCACCGCCGUUGCCUUCGGCUCUGGCCGUUAUCCUUGCCCGUAUAUAGUGGGACCUCAUCGACCAACGCCCACCUAUGCCCAUAAGAUCUGCUAGCCAAUGGUGGUGGAGAGCUCUGGCAAGCCACCAGAUGGAUGGGCAGGAGUCCACCAUCGACACCGUGUUAGGUAGUCGCCCCGCCCGUGGGUGGCGCUCUCCUUCAUUCCGGUGUCUCUGACUCCUCGCAUCUGCGUCCUCUCCACCCGCCGCGGUUCAACAACCACCGUCCGGCGAGCAGACACCACCGUGAAGCUACUUCCCAUCGUGAGCCGGAGUAACUGCGCCAUGGUCUUAGCGGUGAGGUCACAAGGAUCUGAAGAAUCAUCCUGGUAACUGGAAUCUCAAGUGCCAGGAGAAGUACAGGUGGUUCAAGAGGAGCCACACGACGAGGAGUUCGAUUCGAUCUAGGUGGCGUCUCCCAGUUGACUUUUUUGCGCCAAGGAUGGACUUUAGUUCUAUCUAUAUUUAUCUUUUAUUUUGUAAGAAUUCCGCUAUGUAAUAAGUACUCUGAUUAUAUUGUGACAUUUAUCUCUAUACACUCUGUUAUUAUAUAUGUUGUCUUCUUUGGCGCAUGUAUGAGAUGCACCUGGCUUUGUCCCUUAAAACCGGGUGUGACAGAACAUGAGAAGCUAAUGAUAAGUUUUCGAUCAUGUUAUUAUUA
Long non-coding RNA from Zea mays, 796 nucleotides. RefSeq lists it as uncharacterized. The record is from RefSeq and is a predicted model, not a curated record. Lineage: Eukaryota; Viridiplantae; Streptophyta; Magnoliopsida; Poales; Poaceae. The transcript is spliced from 3 exons.